This 468-nucleotide ribosomal RNA is filed under the name Pelobates cultripes (western spadefoot toad). Its description in RNAcentral is "SSU rRNA". It matches the Rfam family "Eukaryotic small subunit ribosomal RNA", at positions 130 to 580 of the family's 1831-position model. Lineage: Eukaryota; Metazoa; Chordata; Amphibia; Anura; Pelobatidae. The record is from RNAcentral.
GUUUUAUAUAUAUAUAUAUAUAUAUAUAUAUAUAUAUAUAUAUAUAUUUUAAUUGGGGUAGCCCCCAAAAUAUUGGGACAUAUAAAAAAAGUCAACUCUGUUCCGCAGAGUAGCUGUUGGCAUUAUAGUUGCGCAAGCACUUUGUUGACUCUAGAGAACCUCGGGCCAAUCGCACAUCCCCAUGGUGGCUACUUUGCAUGCGGAUGUCAUCCAUAUCAACUUUAGAUGCCAGUUUCUGCGCCUUCCAUGGUGAUCACGGGUAACGGGGAAUCAGGGUUCCAUUCCGUAAAGGCUACCACAUGCAAGGAAGGCAGCAGGCGUGCAAAUGACCCACUCCCGAUGCGGGAAGGUAAUGACGACAAAUAACAAUACAGGACUCUUUAGAGGCCCUGUAAUUGUAAUGAGUCCACUUGAAAUCCUUUAACUCUGAUCAAUUGGAGGGAAGUCUGGUGCAGAGCCCAGACCUGU